CUACGGGGGGCAGCAGUGAGGAAUCUUCCGCAAUGGGCGAAAGCCUGACGGAGCGACACAGUGUGCAGGAUGACACCUUUAGGGGCGUAAACUGCUUUUAUGAGUGAUGAAAUUUUGACAUUAACUCAUGAAUAAGCACCGGCUAAUUACGUGCCAGCAGCCGCGGUAAUACGUAAGGUGCAAGUGUUAUUCGGAAUUAUUGGGCGUAAAGCGUCCGCAGCCGGAUUUAUAAGUCUGAUGUUAAAUCCCGGAGCUCAACUCCGGAAUCGUAUUGGAAACUGUAAAUCUAGAGUUAUACAGAGGUAAGUGGAAUUUGUAGUGUAGGGGUAAAAUCCGUUGAUACUACAAGGAACACCAAAAGCGAAGGCAGCUUACUGGGUAUAUACUGACGGUCAGGGACGAAAGCGUGGGGAGCAAAGAGGAUUAGAUACCCCAGUAGUC
RNAcentral lists this ribosomal RNA (441 nucleotides) under uncultured bacterium. Its description in RNAcentral is "partial 16S ribosomal RNA". It matches the Rfam family "Bacterial small subunit ribosomal RNA", at positions 339 to 795 of the family's 1533-position model. The record is from RNAcentral.